GUCGACGGUAACAGGCCCUUCGGGGUGCUGACGAGUGGCGGACGGGUGAGUAAUGCUUAGGAAUCUGCCUGGUUGUGGGGGAUAACCCGGGGAAACUCGGGCUAAUACCGCAUACGUCUCCCUGUCUUUGCGAUAGGGGGGGAAAGCGGGGACCUUCGGGCCUCGCGCUAUCAGAUGAGCCUAAGUCCGAUUAGCUAGUUGGUAGGGUAACGGCCUACCAAGGCGACGAUCGGUAGCUGGUCUGAGAGGACGACCAGCCACACUGGGACUGAGACACGGCCCAGACUCCUACGGGAGACAGCAGUGGGGAAUAUUGGACAAUGGGCGAAAGCCUGAUCCAGCGAUGCCGCGUGUGUGAAGAAGGCCUGCGGGUUGUAAAGCACUUUCAGUAGGGAAGAAAAGCCGAGUGCCAAUACCACUCGGUCUUGACGUUACCUAAAGAAGAAGCACCGGCUAACUCCGUGCCAGCAGCCGCGGUAAUACGGAGGGUGCGAGCGUUAAUCGGAAUUACUGGGCGUAAAGGGCGCGUAGGCGGUGAAGUAAGUCGGGUGUGAAAGCCCCGGGCCCAACCUGGGAACUGCCUCCGAUACUGCUUCGCUAGAGUAUGGUAGAGGGAAGCGGAAUUCCGGGUGUAGCGGUGAAAUGCGUAGAUAUCCGGAGGAACACCAGUGGCGAAGGCGGCUUCCUGGACCAAUACUGACGCUGAGGCGCGAAAGCGUGGGGAUCAAACAGGAUUAGAUACCCUGGUAGUCCACGCCCUAAACGAUGAGAACUAGCCGUUGGAGGAAAUUAGUCCUUUAGUGGCGCAGCUAACGCGAUAAGUUCUCCGCCUGGGGAGUACGGCCGCAAGGUUAAAACUCAAAGGAAUUGACGGGGG
Molecule: ribosomal RNA, 877 nt
Filed under: uncultured Gammaproteobacteria bacterium
Lineage: Bacteria; Pseudomonadati; Pseudomonadota; Gammaproteobacteria
Description: bacterial SSU rRNA
Rfam family: Bacterial small subunit ribosomal RNA
Source: RNAcentral